AACAUGCUAUUCUCGAAGACUAAGCCAUGCACGUGCCAAGUUCAUACGAUCUUAUCGUGAGACUGCGGACGGCUCAGUAUAUCAGUGAUUAUCUGUUUGAUUGUCUUGCCCAUUGGAUAACCGUGGGAAAUCUAGAGCUAAUACAUGCAGUUUAUUGGCGUAGUUGAAAGACUAUGUCAAAGCAUUUAUUAGACUUAACCAACUACUAUACGCAAGUAUGGUAAGGCGAAUCUAGAUAACUUUGCUGAUCGUAUGGCCCUGUGCCGACGACGUUUCAAUUGAGUUUCUGCCCUAUCAAUUUGUUGGUAAGGUAUUGGCUUACCAAGGUUGCAACGGGUAACGGGGAAUCAGGGUUCGAUUCCGGAGAGGGAGCCUGAGAAACGGCUACCACAUCCAAGGAAGGCAGCAGGCGCGCAAAUUACCCAAUCUAGACAGUAGGAGGUGGUGAAGAGAAGUACUUAGUGGUGGCCUUAAUGGUCCCAACUAGGAAUGAACGUAAUUUAAGCAAUUCGAUGAGUAACUACUGGAGGGCAAGUCCUGGUGCCAGCAGCCGCGGUAAUUCCAGCUCUAGUGGCGUGAUUUAAAGUUGCUGCGUUUAAAACGCUCGUAGUUGGAUCAUGCAAUAACAUGUAGUAACACUGGUUGGUAAAUUUGACGAUUCUCUUCUUGAUUAUUGGAUAAUUAUCGACCAGUGUGUUCAUGCUACAUGUUAUUAUUUGCACACAAGUAUGAUAUUUGGGCUUAAGUGAUUCGAGUAUCAUGUCUUGUGGAGUGUGCCUUGAAUAAAACAGAGUGCUCAAAGCAGGCGAACGCUUGAAUGUUGUAGCAUGGAACGAACAAACGUGUACUUGUGUAUAUUUGAACGGUCGGUGGCAACACUGACUGUUUGGGUAUAUGCAGCACCCGCCGAAAUGCGAAUGUUGGUUUUCGUAUAAGGUGAUGAUUAAAAGAAGCGGUUGGGGGCAUUGGUAUUUGGCCGCGAGAGGUGAAAUUCUUGGACCGGCCAAGGACUAACAGAUGCGAAGGCGUUUGUCUAGACCGUUUUCAUUAAUCAAGAACGAAAGUGGGAGGUUCGAAGACGAUCAGAUACCGUCCUAGUUCCCACUAUAAACUAUGCCGACCUGGGAUCAGUUUAGUGAUUAACAAGCUCUAGGUUGGUCCCCCUGGGAAACCUCAAGUUUUUCGGUUACGGGGAGAGUAUGGUCGCAAGUCUGAAACUUAAAGGAAUUGACGGAAGGGCACCACCAGGGGUGGAACCUGCGGCUUAAUUUGACUCAACACGGGGAAACUUACCUGGUCCGGACAUCGAAAGGAUAGACAGACUGAUAGAUCUUUCUUGAUGCGGUGAGUGGUGGUGCAUGGCCGUUCUUAGUUCGUGGAGUGAUCUGUCAGGUUAAUUCCGGUAACGAACGAGACCACAAUCUUCAUUUGAGAAAUAGUAGUAGGGAGUUGGCUCAGUGGUGUUUCGGCAGCUCUGGGUUGGCUUUCGUAGGUAGAAUUAUUGAAUUUCAUAAAAGUAGCAUUCUGGGCUCGCUCAGGGUGUAAUGUUUAUGAAAGGAUAUGGUUUUCCCUACUGUUAUGCAGUGUUAGGCAAAACCUUUACGCUGCCUCAUGGAGAGACAACAGGUUUAUAAAAGCCUGAGGAAGUGUGGCUAUAACAGGUCAGUGAUGCCCUUCGAUGUUCAGGGCUGCACGCGCGUUACAAUGAUAACAGCAGCGAGUAUCUGGGUCGAAAGACUUGGGUAAUCUUUAAUUGUUAUCGUGAUGGGGAUUGACGGUUGUAAAUCCGUCAUGAAAUAGGAAUCCCUAGUAUGUGCAAUUUAUUAAAUUGCGCAGAUUUAGUCCCUGCCCUUUGUACACACCGCCCGUCGCUACUACCGAGUGAAUUAUGUCAUGAUGCUCUGGGACUGGACGCUGAACGGGGGUUAAAGCCUGUUCGGUGCUAGAAUCAGCGUAAAAUGGCGCAAUUUCGAGGAAGUAAAAGUCGUAACAAGGC
RNAcentral lists this ribosomal RNA (1996 nucleotides) under Myxobolus honghuensis. Its description in RNAcentral is "SSU rRNA". It matches the Rfam family "Eukaryotic small subunit ribosomal RNA". Lineage: Eukaryota; Metazoa; Cnidaria; Myxozoa; Bivalvulida; Myxobolidae. The record is from RNAcentral.